GUUUUUCUAUAAGAAUUGUUUGAUGUAAUGUUAUUUUAUUAACACACAUAAUCUUAACGAUGGAUGUCUUGGUUCCUACAGCGAUGAAGGCCGCAAUUAAAUGCGAUAUUCUGUAUGUAUUAUAUACAACAUUUGAAUAAAGGCUGAAUGUAGAAUUAAAAU
Molecule: ribosomal RNA, 162 nt
Organism: Plasmodium falciparum 3D7
Lineage: Eukaryota; Apicomplexa; Aconoidasida; Haemosporida; Plasmodiidae
Source: RefSeq, a predicted model, not a curated record